Molecule: long non-coding RNA, 524 nt
Filed under: Musa acuminata (dwarf banana)
Lineage: Eukaryota; Viridiplantae; Streptophyta; Magnoliopsida; Zingiberales; Musaceae
Description: long non-coding RNA (MACU_LNC005615)
Source: RNAcentral
CUUCAGACCCCGGAGGACUACAGAUACGUGAUGAGCAUCAACUUGGAUUCUGCUUUCCAUCUGAGCCAGCUCGCCUACCCUCAUCUCAAGGCUUCAGGAAGAGCCAGCAUCGUGUUCAUCUCUUCUGUCGUAGGCUUCAUGGCCGUGGACUAUUUGUCCGUCUACGGAGCCUCCAAAGGUAGGUACUUCAAGAUAUGUGUGCGCUAUCAGAUUCUUUGUGAGCUCUUCAAGAUGUGCAUCACCUUCUUCUCCAGGAGCACUGAACCAGCUCACCAGGAGCCUUGCCUGUGAGUGGGCAGGGGACAACAUCCGAACAAACUGUGUUGCGCCUGGAACCAUCAGAACCCCACUCACCGAACAAGUAAUGCCUGCCCCUCUGUUUUAUCUCAAUUCCUCUCUCGACCCAUCUUGAUCUGUCUGCUUCUUUGCGUUGCUUUGAUACCUGAGACAAGAAGCGAGUAGAACACAGAGUAGCAGUUCGAUUCGAAGGUUGUGUGACACAAUACAGUUCUUUGGAUGAAAAC